Molecule: ribosomal RNA, 254 nt
Filed under: uncultured bacterium
Lineage: Bacteria
Description: partial 16S ribosomal RNA
Rfam family: Bacterial small subunit ribosomal RNA
Source: RNAcentral
UACGAAGGGUGCAAGCGUUACUCGGAAUUACUGGGCGUAAAGCGUGCGUAGGUGGUGAGUUAAGUCUGUCGUGAAAGCCCCGGGCUCAACCUGGGAAUGGCGAUGGAUACUGGCUCGCUAGAGUGCGGUAGAGGAGAGUGGAAUUCCCGGUGUAGCAGUGAAAUGCGUAGAGAUGAUGGAGGAACACCGAUGGCGAAGGCAGCCCCCUGGGUCAAGACUGACGCUCAUGCACGAAAGCGUGGGGAGCAAACAGG